Long non-coding RNA from Thunnus maccoyii (southern bluefin tuna), 1417 nucleotides. RefSeq lists it as uncharacterized. NCBI's taxonomy places the organism in Eukaryota, Metazoa, Chordata, Actinopteri, Scombriformes, Scombridae. The record is from RefSeq and is a predicted model, not a curated record. The transcript has 2 exons.
GUGCGUGUGUGUGUGUGCGUUAUAAAGGGGGGGGGGCAUGUGUGGGAAGCCGUGUUGACUCAGUUUCAAUAAUGACUCUGGCAGAGCAGUGGAUGAACAGCUCACACUGACUGUAAAGAGCAGAGAGAGAGGCAAGGGGGCUGUGCUCUCCCUGGCAUCUCCAUCUCAUAACUCCUCUGUCGCUCAGUGUGUUCAUCAUACACACACACACACACACUCACACACACACACACACACACACACAUACAGACACAUACAUACACUGUGAAACCAACCCUGAGGACUACAGCACCAACAGUACAGUAUAAGACAGGACACUUCAGUGCAGCACGGGGCGGGACCGGCUUUCAGUCGGAGCAGCAAGUGUGAAAACGUCUCCAGGGAGGAAAUCAUCCAUCGUGUGAAUCGCCAUCCAGCAGGGAGAGGAGAAAAUACACAGGACGGCAGCAACAGCAACUUUUGGCUUCACUCAGCAUCCAGUUAGUAACAGGAGACAUGACACAUUUCCUCCCACAGUAUCAAGCAUCCUUUUUUCCUGUAUCCAACAUGUACUGUGCUGCAGGUUUAAGCCUGUUGUUGAGUGAAAUACUGCACUCAGAAACUGAUUUCAUCUGGUGACGUAGAUGUUUGUACCCAGUCUCUAGCACCAUAUGAAAUCAGUGUUCUGGGAGGUGGACUAUCAGCGUGUACAGACGCUGUACAUGAAUAAACUGAAAUAUGAUAUAUUCUUCUUGUGAGCCAAAAAGUAGGUCAUGUUUGUGUAAAUUACUGUACUCCCUGUGCUGCUUUAUCCACUAAACUGGUCACAGCUGCUGUCCUGCUUCUCGUUAUAGUUACUUUUCCCUUCUUUGUGCCCCUUAUAGCCUCAAAUAUACAUGUACUGUACAUUCCUGUGCUUGAUGUUGUUUGAAGCAUUUUGAACGUCUGGUAACACCUGAUGGCAUGCUUUUCAUCACAUUAUAGAGUUUCUCUACUUUUUUUUUCAACUGGAUGUAAAAUGUAUCAUUUAGAUUUUAUUAAAACAAGUGAGUGUAUGUAACAUACUUUACAUAUUUCUAAAAUACUGAAUUUUACCUGCAUUUUGUGGUAAUAAAAUUAUAAGAUUAUACAAAGUUUUUCUUGUGUCCUGAGUAAAUGUCCCAGCAGUAAGAAACAUUUAUCACAAUAAAGCUUCUCAGUGCAGCUACUGUAUGUUCACGUUACAUUCAUCUGAACCCUGUUGAACCUGGAGAUGAGGCUUUAUUUCUUCUGAAGAUUCACUCCAUCUGAAAUCAAAAUCACCUUACUCAAUUGUUGAUGGCACAAAUAAUCUCUCGAAGUUAAAUAUGUUUGAUCUUUUGAUUGUUUGUAUGAGAAAUGUCUAAAAGUCUUGUCACCUGUUGUGUCGAUGGAGCAAAUAAAGAACUCAUGAAACAUA